This 200-nucleotide ribosomal RNA is filed under the name uncultured bacterium. RNAcentral describes it as "partial 16S ribosomal RNA". It matches the Rfam family "Bacterial small subunit ribosomal RNA", at positions 8 to 208 of the family's 1533-position model. The record is from RNAcentral.
AGAGUUUGAUCCUGGCUCAGGACGAACGCUGGCGGCGUGCUUAACACAUGCAAGUCGAGCGGAAAGGCCCUUCGGGGUACUCGAGCGGCGAACGGGUGAGUAACACGUGAGUAACCUGCCCCAGGCUUUGGGAUAACCCUCGGAAACGGGGGCUAAUACCGAAUAUUCAUGUCGUGUGGCAUCACAUGGUGUGGAAAGUU